GAUGAACGCUGGCGGCGUGCCUAACACAUGCAAGUCGAGCGAACAGACGAGGAGUUUUCUCCUUCGACGUUAGCGGCGGACGGGUGAUUAACACGUAGGUAACCUACCUAUAAGACUCGGAUAAUUUCGGGAAAUCGGCCCUAAUACCGGAUAAUAUUUCGAACCGCAUGGUUCGAUAGUGAAAGAUGGUUUUGCUAUCACUUAUUGAUGGACCUGCGCCGUAUUAGCUAGUUGGUAAGGUAACGGCUUACCAAGGCAGCGAUACGUAGCCGACCUGAGAGGGGGAUAGGCCACACUGGAACGGGGACACGGUCCAGACUACUGCGGGAGGCAGCAGUAGGGAACCUCUCGCAGUGGGAGAAAGCCUGACGGAGGAGCACCGCGUGAGAGAUUGAGGUCGUCGGAUCGUGAAACUCUGUUAUGAGGGAAGAACGAACGUGUAAGUAACUGUGGACGACUUGACGGUACCUAAUCAAAAAGCCACGGCUAACUACGUU
Molecule: ribosomal RNA, 497 nt
Filed under: uncultured bacterium
Lineage: Bacteria
Description: partial 16S ribosomal RNA
Rfam family: Bacterial small subunit ribosomal RNA
Source: RNAcentral